UGGGCAGAACCAGGAAGCAGAUAGACGGCACAGUCGCCUCGCUGCCUUUAUCGUUCAGCACCCUCCACUUGUAGGGCUGCGAGUUGUUCAACAGAGCGCACUCGUCUCCUCUGUGGACUGUGAUCUGCAGGAAGGUGAACAUGGAUGCUCACGUCUGACUGAGUCCACUACUGGAUAUUCCUGAGUCAAUGAGCUCCAUCCUACCUCCAUCUGUUUGAAGUCACAGACGGCCUGGAUGGGCAGCUUGCUCUUUAUCGCAGUGGCGGGAUUGCGUGGUUUCAGCUGGACGAUGGUUUUGGCUCUUCGCUUCAGGCCUUCCAGGUGAGUUUUGAACUCGGUCAGUUGCUCUUUCUCAUCCUGUGAAGAACACAGGAGUGAACAUGCAGAGUCUUAACUCACUGUGACAACAUGUAGAAACAGUUUAACUGCCAGCACACAGAACAAGUCGGACUCUUCCACAGUACAAUGACAGCAUCGCAAUGUGUUUGCCUCCUUCACGUCGGAGAAAAACUAGACAGACGAGGAGGAAAAGAGGAGAAGAAAUCAGAACUCAGAUACACAAAACAAAAUGGCAGCACAUUCACUAAAGGGCAGGACAGCGACGACAAACUGUGCCUUAAUGAAGUGAGUAAACACACCUGGAAGUAGGCGGUGUUUUCCUUCAGGUGGGUCUCAAUGCAGCAGCACAGCUGGAGGAUCCAGCUCCACUGAGUCUGCAGAGCUGCGGUGAAGGCCUGAGGAGGGAGGAAAACGGUGUCCAUCCCUCAGCAGUUUGUCUCCUGUGGCCUGAACACCGUUCAUCUUCUUCUCCCUGAGCUCCAGCUCUCUCAUCAAACCCUGCACCCCACAAACAACAACAACCAGACCACAUCAGCUCUUUGGUGGCUGCAGUGACGAAGGCGUGAAGCUGGUCCAGGUAGUGCAGCCGAGCCUUAGAGGAGCUCUGAACGGAGGCGGAUUACAAAAGAUGUCAAGACUUUCUGAGGACUGACUUAAUGCGAACACUACAGCCAGGAAACAGAAAAUAAUUUCGCUUUUUUUUUUCCUGUUUGUGUCUUUUUUUGUAACUUACCAGGAGUUUGCCGUACUGCAGCUCCAGUUUUCCCAGAUAGUCGCGGUAGGCAGCUUUGCUGACAGCCUUUGCCCUCUCGAUCUUGGAGCGGAACUCCUCCACAGACUGGUGCAGGCCGCGGUGGCUGCCCAACUGGGACUCAACAGUGGGCAGGUCGGAGCCCCACUCCCCGUCAUCCACCCGCCGCUGGUUCUCCUCCACCCAGC
Molecule: long non-coding RNA, 1278 nt
Organism: Scatophagus argus
Lineage: Eukaryota; Metazoa; Chordata; Actinopteri; Scatophagidae
Exons: 6
Source: RefSeq, a predicted model, not a curated record